GACGAACGCUGGCGGCGUGCCUAAUACAUGCAAGUUGAGCGCUGAAGGUUGGUACUUGUACCGACUGGAUGAGCAGAGAACGGGUGAGUAACGCGUGGGGAAUCUGCCUUUGAGCGGGGGACAACCUUUGAAAACGAAUGCUAAUACCGCAUAAAAACUUUAAACACAAGUUUUAAGUUUGAAAGAUGCAAUUGCAUCACUCAAAGAUGAUCCCGCGUUGUAUUAGCUAGUUGGUGAGGUAAAGGCUCACCAAGGCGAUGAUACAUAGCCGACCUGAGAGGGUGAGCAGCCGCAUUGGGACUGAGACACGGCCCAAACGCCUUGGGGAGGCAGCAGUAGGGAAUCUUCGGCAAUGGACGAAAGACUGACCGAGCAACGCCGCGUGAGUGAAGAAGGUCUUCGGAUCGUAAAUCUCGGUUGGUAGGGAAGAACGUUGGUGAGAGUGGAAAGCUCAUCAAGUGACGGUAACUACCCAGAAAGCGACGGCUAACUACGUG
Molecule: ribosomal RNA, 497 nt
Filed under: uncultured bacterium
Lineage: Bacteria
Description: partial 16S ribosomal RNA
Rfam family: Bacterial small subunit ribosomal RNA
Source: RNAcentral